Molecule: long non-coding RNA, 386 nt
Filed under: Homo sapiens (human)
Lineage: Eukaryota; Metazoa; Chordata; Mammalia; Primates; Hominidae
Description: long non-coding RNA NONHSAT169795.1
Source: RNAcentral
GAGGUGCAGCUGGUGGAGUCUGGGGGAGGCUUGGUACAGCCUGGGGGGUCCCUGAGACUCUCCUGUGCAGCCUCUGGAUUCACCUUCAGUUACUACUACAUGAGCGGGGUCCGCCAGGCUCCCGGGAAGGGGCUGGAAUGGGUAGGUUUCAUUAGAAACAAAGCUAAUGGUGGGACAACAGAAUAGACCACGUCUGUGAAAGGCAGAUUCACAAUCUCAAGAGAUGAUUCCAAAAGCAUCACCUAUCUGCAAAUGAAGAGCCUGAAAACCGAGGACACGGCCGUGUAUUACUGUGGUAUUAUGAUUACGUUUGGGGGAGUUAUCGUUAUACCGGAACGUACUACUUUGACUACUGGGGCCAGGGAACCCUGGUCACCGUCUCCUCA